RNAcentral lists this small nuclear RNA (27 nucleotides) under Arabidopsis thaliana (thale cress). RNAcentral describes it as "snRNA_14206". The record is from RNAcentral. Lineage: Eukaryota; Viridiplantae; Streptophyta; Magnoliopsida; Brassicales; Brassicaceae.
CAGGCGGGAUUACCCGCUGAGUUUAAG